AGUGAACGCUGGCGGUAGGCCUAACACAUGCAAGUCGAACGGCAGCACAGUAAGAGCUUGCUCUUACGGGUGGCGAGUGGCGGACGGGUGAGGAAUACAUCGGAAUCUACUUUUUCGUGGGGGAUAACGUAGGGAAACUUACGCUAAUACCGCAUACGACCUACGGGUGAAAGCAGUGGAUCUUCGGACCUUGUGCGAUUGAAUGAGCCGAUGUCGGAUUAGCUAGUUGGCGGGGUAAAGGCCCACCAAGGCGACGAUCCGUAGCUGGUCUGAGAGGAUGAUCAGCCACACUGGAACUGAGACACGGUCCAGACUCCUACGGGAGGCAGCAGUGGGGAAUAUUGGACAAUGGGCGCAAGCCUGAUCCAGCCAUACCGCGUGGGUGAAGAAGGCCUUCGGGUUGUAAAGCCCUUUUGUUGGGAAAGAAAAGCAGCAGGUUAAUACCCCGCUGUUCUGACGGUACCCAAAGAAUAAGCACCGGCUAACUUCGUG
This 492-nucleotide ribosomal RNA is filed under the name uncultured bacterium. Its description in RNAcentral is "partial 16S ribosomal RNA". It matches the Rfam family "Bacterial small subunit ribosomal RNA", at positions 29 to 507 of the family's 1533-position model. The record is from RNAcentral.